RNAcentral lists this transfer RNA (71 nucleotides) under Candidatus Pacearchaeota archaeon. RNAcentral describes it as "tRNA-Ala". It matches the Rfam family "tRNA". From Rfam's summary of the family: Transfer RNA (tRNA) molecules are approximately 80 nucleotides in length. The record is from RNAcentral. Lineage: Archaea; Nanobdellati. RNAcentral also lists the same sequence under 1 other name.
GGGCCCAUAGUCUAAUGGUAAAACAUCUGAUUUGCAAUCAGAGGCUCCGAGUUCGAUUCUCGGUGGGUCCA